GUACCAUAACCGACACAGGUGGGUAAGUAGAGUAUACUAAGGGGCGCGAGAUAACUCUCUCUAAGGAACUCGGCAAAAUAACUCCGUAACUUCGGGAGAAGGAGUGCCUUAUUCUUAAGGUUGCAAUAACAAGAUCCAAGCAACUGUUUAUCAAAAACACAGGUCUCCGCUAAGUCGUAAGACGAUGUAUGGGGGCUGACGCCUGCCCAGUGCCAGAAGGUUAAAGAAGUCGGUUAGCAAUAGCAAAGCUGGUAACUGAAGCCCUGGUGAACGGCGGCCGUAACAAUAACGGUCCUAAGGUAGCGAAAUUCCUUGUCGGGUAAGUUCCGACCCGCACGAAAGGCGUAAUGAUUUGGAUGCUGUCUCGGAGAGGGGCUCGGUGAAAUAGACUUGUCUGUGAAGAUGCGGACUACCUGCACCAGGACAGAAAGACCCUAUGAAGCUUUACUGUAACUUGAAAUUGAAAUUGGACUUUAUUCGCGCAGUAUAGGUGGGAGGCGUUGAUUAUAAUCUUGUGGGAUUAUUGGAGCCAUCAGUGAGAUACCACUCUUGUAAUGUUAGAUUUCUAACUUUGAAUCAUUAUCUGGUCAAAGGACAGUUUCAGGCGGGCAGUUUGACUGGGGCGGUCGCCUCCUAAACGGUAACGGAGGCGUACAAAGGCUUCCUCUGAACGGUUAGAAAUCGUAUCUAGAGUGUAAAGGCAUAAGGAAGCUUGACUGUGAGACCUACAAGUCGAGCAGGGACGAAAGUCGGUCUUAGUGAUCUGACGGUACUGAGUGGAAGGGCCGUCACUCAACGGAUAAAAGUUACUCUAGGAUAACAGACUGAUCUCCCCCAAGAGUUCACAUCGACGGGGAGGUUUGGCACCUCGAUGUCGGCUCAUCGCAUCCUGGGGCGGUAGUACGUCCCAAGGGUUGGGCUGUUCGCCCAUGAAAGCGGUACGCGAGCUGGGUUCAGAGCGUCGUGAGACAGUUCGGUCCAUAUCCGGUGUAGGCGCUAGAAUAUUGAGAGGAGCCUUCUUUAGUACGAGAGGACCGAGAAGGACAUACCUCUGGUGUGCCAGUUAUCGUGCCAACGGUAAACGCUGGGUAGCUAUGUAUGGAGUGGAUAACCGCUGAAAGCAUCUAAGUGGGAAGCCCACCUCAAGAUAAGUAUUCUCAUCACGUAAGUGAGUAAGGUCACGGUAAGACUAACCGUUUGAUAGGCAUUAAGUGUAAGUACAGUAAUGUAUGUGCUGAGAUGUCCUAAUAGACCGAGGACUUGAAU
This 1266-nucleotide ribosomal RNA is filed under the name metagenome. RNAcentral describes it as "bacterial LSU rRNA". It matches the Rfam family "Bacterial large subunit ribosomal RNA", at positions 1644 to 2925 of the family's 2925-position model. The record is from RNAcentral.